This 253-nucleotide ribosomal RNA is filed under the name uncultured bacterium. Its description in RNAcentral is "partial 16S ribosomal RNA". It matches the Rfam family "Bacterial small subunit ribosomal RNA", at positions 524 to 776 of the family's 1533-position model. The record is from RNAcentral.
UACGGGGGGGGCAAGCGUUGUUCGGAAUUACUGGGCGUAAAGGGCUCGUAGGUGGCCAACUAAGUCGGACGUGAAAUCCCUCGGCUUAACCGGGGAACUGCGUCCGAUACUGGUUGGCUUGAGUUUGGGAGAGGGAUGCGGAAUUCCAGGUGUAGCGGUGAAAUGCGUAGAUAUCGGGAGGAACACCGGUGGCGAAGGCGGUUCUCUGGGCCUUACCUGACGCUGAGGAGCGAAAGCGUGGGGAGCGAACAGG